Molecule: long non-coding RNA, 2132 nt
Filed under: Vigna radiata
Lineage: Eukaryota; Viridiplantae; Streptophyta; Magnoliopsida; Fabales; Fabaceae
Description: long non-coding RNA (VRAD_LNC002941)
Source: RNAcentral
UUUGAUAAAACUGUAUUUAAUUGUUUUAGAGCCUUGAAAAUCAUUGUGUUCGAUUGCCUCCAAAUCCAAGAAUUGGACUGUUUUCCUUUGAAGGGUACAUAUUAUGCAUGAAUCCUUACUGUUGCAUUAAUGCCCGCCCUAGAUCUCUUUCUUUCCUAUAUAUGUAUGCAUAUCUCUGGCGGGAGAGAGGUCCUUUAGAUCUAACAAUAAUCACCACCAGUUAAUCAACGCCAGCGUUCUUCUUCUCCACAUGAUCUUCGAUUCUGUGCUUUUAUUUUAAUUUUUCAUGGAGUCUGUUAAUUGGAGGAAGGUUUUCAUGUUUUUGUCAAAUUGUAGCAUAAUGUUUUCAUUUCUAAUUAUUCGUGUAAAAGUUGCAGGUGAAUUAGCUGCGUGGAAGAUUCUUUAUAUUUAUUUUCGACUGAACAUAAAUCAUACUAUGAUCUUUUUUUAUUUUGAUCACAUAUAUAUAAAAUCUAAAGUAGAUGAUGAAUAAAAGUACCCAUUUUAAUUAUAAGAAAAGUCAUAUAUAUUGUGUUAAAAGCGCAUGAAUACGAGCUUUUAAAGGAAUUAAAAAGAGUAGAUGACGUAAGGGUUUUGGACAUAAGAUAGAAAAAUUGUUGAUGAUAGUAAAAUAUAUGAAGGUUGGAAAAGGGGGAUGAAUUGCAUAUGAAAAGAUGAGAAAAUCGGGUAUAAGUAGUAAAGUUAAAAGAGAUUACCUGAAAGAAGAAAGAUGGUAUUAGAAGUUGUUUCUGAAUAGUUAGUAGCAUUAAGUAUAUAUGUAAAGGUGUUUUAAUUUUGAAAAGCGGCAUAUAGUUUUACAAAUGACUAUUUCUACAAGGCUUAUGAGCGAGGACUAAAUAAGUUGGACAAGAGGACCUUCCACUUUGGGUUGAACUCAUGGAAGUGCGCAUAUCUUUAUAGCUUUCUAGUUCGGAUGAAAGAGAGUUUGAGUGAAAAUAGACCCAAACCAUACACUUUUGGCUCUUCUUAACAAGGGCAGGUGUCCUUGUAAAUUUUAGAGCCUCCCCUUGAAGAUAGACUUACAUAGUGCAUAUAUAAACUGAGGAUAUACUUACAUAGUGCAUAUAAUAACUAGUUAGCACCAUCCUUGCUUUCUCAGUAACGAAAUUGCCUCUCAACCAAGAAAAAAAAAAUGAUCAACCAACAAUAAAAGUGGAAAAGAAAAUAUUUAACCUAACAAAGUUUUCAAAUAUUACAUUUACUAUGUAUAAUAAAAAUGAAAAGUAUUAUUAACGAGGCGCGCAUUCAGACGUGCCUUUUUUUGAAAUAAGCAAGAUGAGUUUAUAGUAAAACAAGUUAAUGACGCAAAUUAUUAAAAGAAACGAAGGUGACGCGAUUAAGAGUUGCUAGAAAAUUUGUAUGCGUGCGUAUGUAUGUAUAUGUAUGAAGGGAUAUGGAUGGAAAAGAGAAUAGGAGACGUUUCGAUUGAACCAUACUCUCUCUAGUCUCUACCUGAGGCAUGCUUUGAGAAACCUGAUUUUCUGUUCUUAGAGAACCCUUGCUACAAAGCAAGGGAAUUAUCUUCAUACAGCAAAGGAAAUUUAGCAUCUUACGUACCUCAACACUGGUCGAUUUAUAAGUGUGAGUCCAAGAUAACGUCACAUUGAUUCUCAGCCAUGGAACAUGGCUUCCAUCAGACUCACAACCGUAUUUAAUAUAGGUGUUGCCACUUUUUAGUUAAUCAAUAAAAGCUGUGGCAGUCAUAUAUAUAGGCAGUUUUUAAUUACAUUUCUAUUAAUGCUUUAUAUUUCAAGCAAAUUAAACAAAUGUUUUAACUUACUCUCACUCAUUCAUGCACACUCGUGUACCCUCUUUUCCACAACGCAUUUCUACAACCGAGUAGCAUUCUAGGUUUUCCUUCUGCUUCUCCGCUUACUGUCAUGAAUACAACCAUACUUAUCAAAUUGUUUUGUAUAGAGUUUUCUUAACCAAGUGAUUAAAGGCAACAAAGUUUUUAUGUAAAAAGCAAACUCUUAUCCUGUUGUUUGGUGUAAUUAGAGUACAAACACACUGUUUACUCAUAUUAAAAUUUUUUACAGCCAAAAAAGCGUUAAAAAACCAGUAGGGUACUAUUCAGUUACAUGACACUGUCUUCUAGAAAUAAAUCAUUC